Molecule: long non-coding RNA, 1074 nt
Organism: Syngnathus typhle (broad-nosed pipefish)
Lineage: Eukaryota; Metazoa; Chordata; Actinopteri; Syngnathiformes; Syngnathidae
Exons: 3
Source: RefSeq, a predicted model, not a curated record
AACACACAAAACAACUUUACAGACUUGCACAAAGGAUAGUAUUUAUUUAUCAAUGGCGACGUCGGUACGUACUUUGCACGGACGAUAGUAUUAUUAUCCACCACCAAUGGUGGUGGAGCUACUGCGUAUUCCUCUACGUGUCACGUCCAGUCCUCUGAAUUGGUCUACCGCCCCGAACUACGGAAAACGUAGUGUCCUCUGAUUAGUUCAUCGGGUGCCUGUAUAUUACGGCGGAAGACACACAAAACAAUGGUGGCGAGGGUACGUACUCCUCUACGUGACAUGUCUAGUCCUCUGAUUGUUUUCUUUGUCCCGAUCUACGUGGCGGAAGCCACACAAAACAAUGGCGGCAAAGCCAACAUUUAAUUCAAUAUUGGACGGUAUUGCGGUGCCUCCCUUGUGGAAAGAAGCAGUGAUCCCGAAAGAAGGGGGGGACAGAGAGGAAUGCGGCAGCUAUAGACCGGAGGCAAAUGACAGAUAACGGAUGGCCAUACUAAACACGGCUUUGGUGAUUGCUGAAGCAGUGCACUGUUAGCACUGUGUAUGUUGGCGAUUGGGUGUUGCUGACCAUGACUCUGGACAUCGUGAGUCGGUCGGGAGAUAGGGUUGCUGUCUGUGCUGGCUCGAAGCCCCACCCCAAAGCUCAACUCUCAAUGACAGUCAAGUCAAAUCGCAGCCUUUGUAAUUAGCAUAUUGUGUUUUAAGCCUUUGUAAUUAGCAUAUUGUGUUUUAACAAAUAGCAAUGAUAUUGCAAAUGCAAUUAAUUGUUCUGCCUUAAACUGAAAGUAUUGAAUAAUUAGUAUAGUAAUUUCUUACCUCAAGUGUCCCUUGUUCGUGACAUUUCUGCACCAAAAGAGAAAAAGCAUCACAGUAAAUUUUAAUAAAUGUGCCAGUUAAAAAGUAUGCCCAUUUGACCAAAUUUUCUCAGGGGUGUGUUUAAAAAAACACAUCAUGUUUGGUGUUGUUUUCUCCUUUCUAUUGAGAUCACAGAUAUUAAUGUCAGUCAGGUUUAAUAACAGUUUCCCAUUAGUUUUUCAGAUGAGCCCAAUUUCAGGAAAAACUUUUUCAUGGCAA